Molecule: ribosomal RNA, 253 nt
Filed under: uncultured bacterium
Lineage: Bacteria
Description: partial 16S ribosomal RNA
Rfam family: Bacterial small subunit ribosomal RNA
Source: RNAcentral
UACGUAGGUGGCAAGCGUUGUCCGGAUUCACUGGGCGUAAAGCGCGCGCAGGCGGUCUCGGGCGUCGGUGCUGAAAGUCCACCGCUUAACGGUGGGAUGCGUGCCGAUACGCCGAGACUGGAGGGUGGGCGAGGGUGGUGGAAUUGCCGGUGUAGUGGUGAAAUGCGUAGAGAUCGGCAGGAACACCCGUGGUGAAAACGGCCACCUAGCCCAUACCUGACGCUGAGGCGCGACAGCGUGGGGAGCGAACGGG